This 450-nucleotide ribosomal RNA is filed under the name uncultured bacterium. RNAcentral's name for it is "bacterial SSU rRNA". It matches the Rfam family "Bacterial small subunit ribosomal RNA", at positions 354 to 796 of the family's 1533-position model. The record is from RNAcentral.
GUGGGGAAUAUUGGACAAUGGGCGCAAGCCUGAUCCAGCAAUGCCGCGUGCAGGAAGAAGGCCUUCGGGUUGUAAACUGCUUUUGUACGGAACGAAACGGUCCGGGUUAAUACCCUGGGCUAAUGACGGUACCGUAAGAAUAAGCACCGGCUAACUACGUGCCAGCAGCCGCGGUAAUACGUAGGGUGCAAGCGUUAAUCGGAAUUACUGGGCGUAAAGCGUGCGCAGGCGGUUUUGUAAGGCAGGCGUGAAAUCCCCGGGCUCAACCUGGGGAUUGCGCUUGUGACUGCAAGGCUGGAGUGCGGCAGAGGGGGAUGGAAUUCCGCGUGUAGCAGUGAAAUGCGUAGAUAUGCGGAGGAACACCGAUGGCGAAGGCAAUCCCCUGGGCCUGCACUGACGCUCAUGCACGAAAGCGUGGGGAGCAAACAGGAUUAGAAACCCUUGUAGUCC